CCUACGGGAGGCAGCAGUGAGGAAUAUUGGACAAUGGGCGCAAGCCUGAUCCAGCCAUGCCGCGUGCAGGAUGACGGUCCUAUGGAUUGUAAACUGCUUUUGCACAGGGAGAAACAACUCUACGUGUAGAGUCUUGACGGUACUGUGAGAAUAAGGAUCGGCUAACUCCGUGCCAGCAGCCGCGGUAAUACGGAGGAUCCAAGCGUUAUCCGGAAUCAUUGGGUUUAAAGGGUCCGUAGGCGGUCUUAUAAGUCAGUGGUGAAAUCUCCCCGCUCAACGGGGAAACGGCCAUUGAUACUGUAAGACUUGAAUUAUUAGGAAGUAACUAGAAUAUGUAGUGUAGCGGUGAAAUGCUUAGAGAUUACAUGGAAUACCAAUUGCGAANGCAGGUUACUACUAAUGGAUUGACGCUGAUGGACGAAAGCGUGGGUAGCGAACAGGAUUAGAUACCCUGGUAGUCCACGCCGUAAACGAUGGAUACUAGCUGUUGGGAGCAAUCUCAGUGGCUAAGCGAAAGUGAUAAGUAUCCCACCUGGGGAGUACGUUCGCAAGAAUGAAACUCAAAGGAAUUGACGGGGGCCCGCACAAGCGGUGGAGCAUGUGGUUUAAUUCGAUGAUACGCGAGGAACCUUACCAAGGC
Molecule: ribosomal RNA, 640 nt
Filed under: uncultured bacterium
Lineage: Bacteria
Description: bacterial SSU rRNA
Rfam family: Bacterial small subunit ribosomal RNA
Source: RNAcentral